Molecule: ribosomal RNA, 604 nt
Filed under: uncultured bacterium
Lineage: Bacteria
Description: bacterial SSU rRNA
Rfam family: Bacterial small subunit ribosomal RNA (bases 1-516)
Source: RNAcentral
CCUACGGGAGGCAGCAGUGAGGAAUUUUCCGCAAUGGGCGAAAGCCUGACGGAGCAAUACCGCGUGAGGGAUGAAGGAUUUUGGUCUGUAAACCUCUUUUCUCAAGAAAGAAGUUCUGACGGUACUUGAGGAAUAAGCAUCGGCUAACUCCGUGCCAGCAGCCGCGGUAAUACGGGGGAUGCAAGCGUUAUCCGGAAUGAUUGGGCGUAAAGCGCCUGUAGGUUGUUUAUUAAGUCCGUUGUUAAAGCCUAGGGCUCAACCCUAGAAAAGCAAUGGAAACUAGUAGACUAGAGUAUGGCAGGGGUAGAGGGAAUUUCUAGUGUAGCGGUGAAAUGCGUAGAUAUUAGAAAGAACACCGGUGGCGAAAGCGCUCUACUGGACCAUUACUGACACUCAGAGGCGAAAGCUAGGGUAGCAAAAGGGAUUAGAUACCCCUGUAGUCCUAGCCGUAAACGAUGGAUACUAGAUGUUGUGCAUUAUGUACAGUAUCGUAGCUAACGCGUUAAGUAUCCCGCCUGGGGUAGGUACGCUCGCGAGGUAGAACGUAAAGGUAAAGUUAGUACGGCGUGAGACGUGUCCGACGGCGACGACGAGGGGAGGUAGG